This 245-nucleotide long non-coding RNA is filed under the name Homo sapiens (human). Its description in RNAcentral is "HSALNT0016976". The record is from RNAcentral. Lineage: Eukaryota; Metazoa; Chordata; Mammalia; Primates; Hominidae.
GCUUUGGGGAACAAGGCCCAGGCUCAACCACCUCCAUCGGCGGGGUUUUCCAGCUGAGAGGCCGUGAGCGCCUAGAGUUGGGUGACCACAGGGAGAGUCCUUCCUGAGGGACAAGCAGAGCCGGUGAGUUCCUGAACCUGAGAGAACCUAGGACGCACCUGGGCAGGUGCCUGGGUGGCGGCCCUUGAGAGUCAACAUAAGUCAACGAGGCCAAGACCGAACCAGCCGGCCUGAAAGUGCGCGAU